AUCACUGCAUUGUUCUGUCCAG
This 22-nucleotide microRNA is filed under the name Electrophorus electricus (electric eel). Its description in RNAcentral is "eel-miR-11058-5p". The record is from miRBase by way of RNAcentral. Lineage: Eukaryota; Metazoa; Chordata; Actinopteri; Gymnotiformes; Gymnotidae.